AUGCCCAACUGGGAGGAGUGGUCUUUUUUUGAGGAAGAAGUUGUUGCUGAUGUAAGCGGAGUGGAUGGAGCUGCUGAGAUCCGAAAAGAGGAUGCCCAACCUGCAAGGGUGCGACUGCUGCCUCGUUUGUUGGAAUUGCAACUUCAUGGUUGCCCGAAGCUGAGGGAUCUCCCGCAACAGCUUGGAAAGGGCACCACCUGUUUGAAGGAGCUCACCUUAAUAGGACUAAACAGCUUGAAGGCCGUGGAGGACCGCCCAGUGCUCUCUGAGGUCCUUGUUAUUGAGGAUUGUGAAGGCCUAGAGAAGGUCUCCAACCUCCCUGAAGUGGCAGAGCUGCAUGUGGGUGGUUGUCCAAACUUAAGCCAUGUAGAGAGAUUGGACAGUUUGCAGCGGCUGGGGCUGGGCGAGGAUAUGCAAGAGAUCUCUUCACGUUGGGUGCCUGGGCUUCAAGAGCAGCACCAACGACUUCAUGGCGAAGAUCUGGAUAUCUACACGCUGUUUAGGUAG
RNAcentral lists this ribosomal RNA (507 nucleotides) under Triticum aestivum (bread wheat). RNAcentral's name for it is "partial small subunit ribosomal RNA". The record is from RNAcentral. Lineage: Eukaryota; Viridiplantae; Streptophyta; Magnoliopsida; Poales; Poaceae.